This 503-nucleotide ribosomal RNA is filed under the name uncultured bacterium. RNAcentral's name for it is "partial 16S ribosomal RNA". It matches the Rfam family "Bacterial small subunit ribosomal RNA", at positions 28 to 523 of the family's 1533-position model. The record is from RNAcentral.
GAUAAACGCUAGCGGCAGGCUUAACACAUGCAAGUCGAGGGGCAGCAUAGAUUGUAGCAAUACAAUUGGUGCGACCGGCGCACGGGUGCGUAACGCGUAUGCAACCUACCCGUCACAGGGGGAUAAUCCGGAGAAAUCUGGUCUAAUACCCCAUAACAUAUGGAUCGGCAUCGGUUCAUGUUGAAAUUUUCGGAGGUGACGGAUGGGCAUGCGUAGCAUUAGCUUGUUGGUGAGGUAACGGCUCACCAAGGCGACGAUGCUUAGGGGGACUGAGAGGUUUUCCCCCCACACUGGUACUGAGACACGGACCAGACUCCUACGGGAGGCAGCAGUGAGGAAUAUUGGUCAAUGGGCGCAAGCCUGAACCAGCCAUGCCGCGUGCAGGAUGACGGCUCUAUGAGUUGUAAACUGCUUUUGUACGAGGGUAAAGUGGGUUACGUGUAACCUUUUGAAAGUAUCGUACGAAUAAGGAUCGGCUAACUCCGUGCCAGCCGCCGCCGUAA